Non-coding RNA from Ameiurus melas (black bullhead), 73 nucleotides. NCBI's taxonomy places the organism in Eukaryota, Metazoa, Chordata, Actinopteri, Siluriformes, Ictaluridae. The record is from the annotation of a GenBank genome assembly.
UGUACGAUGGCUUAGUGGUUAGCACGUUCACCUCAUAACUCCAGGGUCCGGGGUUCGAGUCCCAGCGGUGUGU